RNAcentral lists this ribosomal RNA (401 nucleotides) under uncultured bacterium. RNAcentral's name for it is "bacterial SSU rRNA". It matches the Rfam family "Bacterial small subunit ribosomal RNA", at positions 359 to 776 of the family's 1533-position model. The record is from RNAcentral.
GAAUCUUCCGCAAUGCGCGAAAGCGUGACGGAGCAAUGCCGCGUGCAGGAUGAAGCCCCUCGGGGUGUAAACUGCUGUCAGGUGCCAGUAAGCAAGUGAACAGCACCAAAGGAAGGGCCGGCUAACUUCGUGCCAGCAGCCGCGGUAAUACGAAGGGCCCGAGCGUUACGCGGAAUCACUGGGCUUAAAGCGUACGUAGGCGGACAUGUAAGCGCUUUGUGAAAUCCCUCGGCUCAACCGGGGAAUUGCAGGGCGAACUGCAUGUCUCGAGGCAGGUAGAGGCCGUCGGAACGCUCGGUGGAGCGGUGAAAUGCGUAGAUAUCGAGCGGAACGCCGACGGUGAAGACAGGCGGCUGGGCCUGUUCUGACGCUGAGGUACGAAAGCGUGGGGAGCAAACGGG